RNAcentral lists this long non-coding RNA (213 nucleotides) under Panax ginseng (ginseng). RNAcentral describes it as "long non-coding RNA (PGIN_LNC008805)". The record is from RNAcentral. Lineage: Eukaryota; Viridiplantae; Streptophyta; Magnoliopsida; Apiales; Araliaceae.
UUCAAUAAACGAAUAGCUUUAUGGCUUGAGAUGACAGUGAUUGAUUUUAAUAUUUUGGUUGCUUGAAUUUGCAUAAUAGGUUGAUUAGGAAUAUGAAAGCUAACAACCUUACGAAAACAAUCAAUUUUUGCAUGAUGAGUAGUUAACCAAUCAAUCCCUAGAAUUACAUCAAAUGCAAGUAUUUUCAAUGAAAUAAGAUCGACAGGUAAUGUG